GAAAAAACAUGAUAAAAAUUAAAAAAAAAAAAAUCGCAAUUAAGCAGUAGCAGAGCAGUAUAUCGAGCGCCUCUGUAAAGAAUCGAAGUCUAAACCCUCCUCUCUUCACUAUCCCCUCGAAAUCUCUCUAAAUUCGAAGCUGCCAAAAUGGUAGCAUCAGCUGUUUCAGUGCCUCUUAGCUUCUCUAUCUCUAAUCGCAACAAAACCCCCUCCAUUUCUCUAUUAUCUCACAGAAACUCGGCGAGGUAUAUAGUUUCCUCUUUGCAUAGUCCCUACGGCGAUGAUUCUUCGGCGACAGGACUAUCAAGCAAAACUUGUGGGUUUUCUCUAAGGGUUGAUGAGAAGGAUAUUCGAAAUGCUAAUCAAAGUUAUCCUGCAAUUGAAGCCAAAAAAGGAAAUCCACCCAUUAUGCCAGCAGUUAUGACUCCAGGAGGACCUUUGGAUCUAUCAUCUGUAUUAUUUAGGAAUCGCAUAAUCUUCAUCGGGCAACCAAUCAAUUCACAGGUGGCUCAGCAAGUUAUAUCGCAGCUUGUGACUCUAGCAACCAUUGAUGAGAAAGCAGAUAUUCUGAUGUAUCUCAACUGCCCCGGUGGAAGCACCUACUCUGUGUUGGCAAUUUAUGACUGCAUGUCAUGGAUAAAACCAAAAGUUGGCACCGUAUGUUUUGGAGUAGCUGCAAGCCAAGGAGCACUUCUUCUUGCUGGUGGAGAAAAGGGAAUGCGGUAUGCAAUGCCCAAUGCACGUAUUAUGAUACAUCAACCUCAGGGUGGAUGUGGGGGUCAUGUGGAGGUUGUGAGACGCCAAGUAAAUGAAGCUGUUCAAUCUCGCCACAAAAUUGACAGAAUGUAUGCUGCAUUUACUGGCCAACCUCUUGAGAAAGUGCAAGAAUACACCGAGAGGGAUCGUUUCUUAUCUACCUCAGAGGCUAUGGAGUUUGGUCUGAUUGAUGGCAUCCUGGAAACAGAAUACUGAACUGGGGUCUGUUCAUGUUUGGCCAUCAAAUACACAAAAAGGAAAUUACGGGUGGAAUUGCCUGGAUUAGAUCAGUGGAUUAAAUUGGCCAACGUUUGUAUUCAGAAAAAGAAUAGGCGGGCUUUGGUGAUGCAUCUCUGUAAUUUCUUGUUUCAAUGUUCUUUAAACAGGAAAUGAUUUAUUGUACCUGAAAAGCUUGAGC
Molecule: unclassified non-coding RNA, 1174 nt
Filed under: Hevea brasiliensis (rubber tree)
Lineage: Eukaryota; Viridiplantae; Streptophyta; Magnoliopsida; Malpighiales; Euphorbiaceae
Source: RNAcentral